CUAGUAUCGCGAGAUCAGGAAGGUGGCCGAGUGUGUCGCCGCGGCCAUCAGGCACUUCUCCUUCCUGCCCUUGUAUGAAGAAGGAUGUGUUUGCUUCCCCUUGUGCCAUGAUUGUAAAUUUCCUGAGGCCUCCUCAGCCCUGCAGAACUGGCUAGAGCAAUGUAUCUUAGGCUCACUUAAGGAAGCUGUAGAGAUGAGCCCAAGGAGGGAAACCAGAAGAGCCCCCCAGGCUCACCAGUUGUUUGUUGGCUCCCUACAAACAUGUCAUUCAAGUGGCUAAUCUUACAACAGCACAAAUUCAUCUAACCAGAAAGAGAAGAGGAGGCUCCAAAGGCACUUGACUACUGAGCAUCACCCUGGACGUGUACAAGUCUGCGUCCUUAUUGUUUUCUUCAUUGGGCCGAACUUUCUGGUCCUCAUCCAACAGCUCUUCUAUCACGUGUUCGAAAGUGUCAGCCAAUGAUGUCAAGCCUCUUGAACCUGCCUUGGGCCCAUUCACGCUCUCCAGAGUCCCAUGGGUCCGCACACCUGGAGAUACUCUAUUAUAGCAAAGAAGAAAGAUAAUUUCAUUGAGCCAUCCUGUUUUACAGGAUUUUCCCUCCUGGUGAGUCAAAAUGAACAAGAAAUACCCCAGGACCUCCCUUCCCUCCUUGGCCAUUAAUGAGAUGAAGGCAAUUAACUCACAUAGUAUAAAUGAAUCAUUUGAGGUGAUGACUGCAUUUUAGGCAAAUGAUGACUUUCUUGGUUCCAUUGGUUUGCAAGUAAAAGUUACACACAUUGAAAAGACACUGAAACAGAUUUCCUAAAUGCUUCAUUUUCUGGAUGCACCAAUGUUGACCUACUAUACAUGUUAAAUGGUUUUAAAAUAUCACCUUAAAAUAAAGGAAACUUCCAGCUACUAACUCAGCUCUGAAUGGGCUAUGAAAGGCUCCAAAGGUAUGUGAAAAAUUACUGUUAUUUUGCUUUAAAAAAUGUGAUGUCUAAGAGUGUCUGCAAUGUUCUAAUGCUUCAAAACAUGUACGUAAGCCUUGUUUAUCUGGAAAUCAUUUCUUUCUGCUUAUAUCAUUUAUAAAUAGAAAAUGUUCUGUAAUAACUUAAAAUAGUUCCACAUACAUAAUGCUUUUAGUGUCAUAAUACUUACUACUGGUCUAUAUUUACCAACAUUUAUCACAUUUUACAAAAUGAAGUAGAAGAAAAAAAAGACAACGACUUUAUGGCCCUGGAAUUCCAGUAAUGGUGACCAACAUGUUUUAAAUUCCAGUAAAGGUUAUGGUUACAUUUCAACAAGUGUCUCUUUCCUUUUUUUUACCUCUCCUGCUAACCCAGAGGUAAAUUUCCCAAAAA
This 1344-nucleotide long non-coding RNA is filed under the name Homo sapiens (human). RNAcentral's name for it is "BDNF antisense RNA". The record is from RNAcentral. Lineage: Eukaryota; Metazoa; Chordata; Mammalia; Primates; Hominidae.